UUUUUUAAAAUGGCAUAAAGCCUAUUUAUACAAGCUUACAACUUGACAACUUAGUUGGAAUACAACUAAGUUUCAUCAUUACAUCCACUUAAAAUAAAUCACCACCUACUACCACUAACAAACUUAGUUGGAAUACAACUAAGUUUCAUCAUUACAUCCACUUAAAAUAAAUCACCACCUACUACCACUAACAAACUUAGUUGGAAUACAACUAAGUUACAUCAUUACAUCCAAAUAAUAAUAAUAAUAAUAAUAAUAAUAAUAAUAAUAAUAAAACAUGUGAUUGCUACAUGCUAACCAUUGCUUCAAUA
RNAcentral lists this long non-coding RNA (311 nucleotides) under Gossypium barbadense (sea-island cotton). RNAcentral's name for it is "long non-coding RNA (GBAR_LNC007452)". The record is from RNAcentral. Lineage: Eukaryota; Viridiplantae; Streptophyta; Magnoliopsida; Malvales; Malvaceae.